This 292-nucleotide long non-coding RNA is filed under the name Phoenix dactylifera (date palm). RNAcentral describes it as "long non-coding RNA (PDAC_LNC006163)". The record is from RNAcentral. Lineage: Eukaryota; Viridiplantae; Streptophyta; Magnoliopsida; Arecales; Arecaceae.
CACAGGCUGGAAAUGUGAUACUAUCGAUUGCCCCAUCACAGGUUGGAAAUGUGAUACCAUCGAUUGCCCCGUCACAGGCUGGAAAUGUGAUACUAUCGAUUGCCCCGUCACGGGCCGGAAACGUGACCGGGAUGUAGCCCAAAGUCGGAAAGAUAAUUGAUCCGGAUCAAGUUAAUAUAGAAUGGAAAGAAAAAGCAUUGAAAACAUUAAUGAAGAUUUAUGAGCUAUCGUAUGCUAUAUCAUUUUUGUGUGGUUGAACUUUCAUUGAUAUUUGAUGUACAUACUUAUGUUG